GCCCGCACAAGCGGUGGAGCAUGUGGUUUAAUUCGAUGCAACGCGAAGAACCUUACCUACUCUUGACAUCCANGGAACUUAGCAGAGAUGCUUUGGUGCCUUCGGGAACUNUGAGACAGGUGCUGCAUGGCUGUCGUCAGCUCGUGUUGUGAAAUGUUGGGUUAAGUCCCGCAACGAGCGCAACCCUUAUCCUUUGUUGCCAGCGGUCCGGCCGGGAACUCAAAGGAGACUGCCAGUGAUAAACUGGAGGAAGGUGGGGAUGACGUCAAGUCAUCAUGGCCCUUACGAGUAGGGCUACACACGUGCUACAAUGGCAUAUACAAAGAGAAGCGACCUCGCGAGAGCAAGCGGACCUCAUAAAGUAUGUCGUAGUCCGGAUUGGAGUCUGCAACUCGACUCCAUGAAGUCGGAAUCGCUAGUAAUCGUGGAUCAGAAUGCCACGGUGAAUACGUUCCCGGGCCUUGUACACACCGCCCGUCACACCAUGGGAGUGGGUUGCAAAAGAAGUAGGUAGCUUAACCUUCGGGAGGGCGCUA
RNAcentral lists this ribosomal RNA (536 nucleotides) under Klebsiella sp. Its description in RNAcentral is "bacterial SSU rRNA". It matches the Rfam family "Bacterial small subunit ribosomal RNA", at positions 919 to 1455 of the family's 1533-position model. The record is from RNAcentral. Lineage: Bacteria; Pseudomonadati; Pseudomonadota; Gammaproteobacteria; Enterobacterales; Enterobacteriaceae.